CGUAGGGGCAAGCGUUGUCCGGAAUUAUUGGGCGUAAAGCGCGUGUAGGCGGUCCGGUAAGUCGGCUGUGAAAGUCCAGGGCUCAACCCUGGGAUGCCGGUCGAUACUGCCGGACUAGAGUUCGGAAGAGGCGAGUGGAAUUCCCGGUGUAGCGGUGAAAUGCGCAGAUAUCGGGAGGAACACCAAUGGCGAAGGCAGCUCGCUGGGACGUUACUGACGCUGAGACGCGAAAGCGUGGGGAGCAAACAGGAUUAGAUACCCUGGUAGUCCACGCCGUAAACGAUGGGCACUAGGUGUGGGAGGUGUCGACUCCUCCCGUGCCGGAGCUAACGCAUUAAGUGCCCCGCCUGGGGAGUACGGCCGCAAGGCUA
RNAcentral lists this ribosomal RNA (371 nucleotides) under uncultured organism. RNAcentral's name for it is "bacterial SSU rRNA". It matches the Rfam family "Bacterial small subunit ribosomal RNA", at positions 526 to 896 of the family's 1533-position model. The record is from RNAcentral.